Gallus gallus (chicken) is the source of this 983-nucleotide long non-coding RNA. The record is from Ensembl. Lineage: Eukaryota; Metazoa; Chordata; Aves; Galliformes; Phasianidae.
AGAAUCAGCAGUGGGGCACAGAAACAGUGGUACAACGCCUUUCAGUCCUCCCUGAAACUGAGAACUAAAUAUGUUGCUUUUGCUCCAGCAAUUCUGCAGCAGAUUUCUCCUGUAUAUAUAGUGCUGACUUCUUUUCCAUCAAAAACACAGCUUUUCUCUACAAGCAAAAGGGUCAGUGUUUGAAAUCAAGAACACAGAAAAGAUGAUGAAUCUUGAAAAGAGUCCUCGUUCAAGGCAGUGACUGCAGCCAUGAACAGAACUAUCUAUCAAAGAGAAAAGGGAAUGAACUAAGGGAAGCUGGUGAUGUGGUCAAAGGCAAACAACAACAACCAAAAAAAUUAAAGCAUCAGCUUGAGUUCUAGCUCCAACUUUGCUCCUCAUUAUGUGAAUUUUGUCAGGGAUGAUGUGACUUGAAUCUUCAUGUGAUUUCCAGCACUGUAUUCCUCCUGUUUCUAUUCCACCUUUCAGAGUACCCCAUGGCAGAAUAAAAUAGGAGCCAAAUUUAACAGUAACCUUCGAGGUAUUUUAAAAGAUUUUGUAUUUGUUUGGAGCUUCACAACUGCUGAAAGCAUGAGUACAUGCAUAAUCUUUGCUUAACAUUAAGCUAUGUCUACCCUCCCAAAAAGAAACUACCUGUCCAUCUACAUGGUAGGAGAAGACAAUGAUUUCAUUACUAAAAUUGUAACUUACACUGCUCAGAAAGCCAAUGCUUGACAAAUGGUUGAACCUAUGUUGAAAGAAUAGGAUCACAGAGAUAAACUGUGUACAUUUGGAAAUAGUUCAGUAACUAAUGUGAAUUGUAAAAUCCUGCUUCACUCAGUGAGAGCAAUUACCAUUAAAAUUUUUGAUAAUUCACAUUUAAAAUACUGGCAAUCUGACAGGCCCUUAAAGCAUUUAUUUUGGUUGUUAGUUUAAUUAUCCUUUCAGCUGAUAUAGUCAUUUGUUUCACAAAUUAAAAAAAAAGAAGAGUUUACAGGGGAAAC